GCAUGGUUCAAACAUAAAAGGUGGCUUCGGCUACCACUUACAGAUGGACCCGCGGCGCAUUAGCUAGUUGGUGAGGUAACGGCUCACCAAGGCGACGAUGCGUAGCCGACCUGAGAGGGUGAUCGGCCACACUGGGACUGAGACACGGCCCAGACUCCUACGGGAGGCAGCAGUAGGGAAUCUUCCGCAAUGGACGAAAGUCUGACGGAGCACGCCGCGUGAGUGAUGAAGGUUUUCGGAUCGUAAAGCUCUGUUGUUAGGGAAGAACAAGUGCCGUUCGAAUAGGGCGGUACCUUGACGGUACCUAACCAGAAAGCCACGGCUAACUACGUGCCAGCAGCCGCGGUAAUACGUAGGUGGCAAGCGUUGUCCGGAAUUAUUGGGCGUAAAGGGCUCGCAGGCGGUUUCUUAAGUCUGAUGUGAAAGCCCCCGGCUCAACCGGGGAGGGUCAUUGGAAA
This 458-nucleotide ribosomal RNA is filed under the name Bacillus subtilis subsp. subtilis. RNAcentral's name for it is "bacterial SSU rRNA". It matches the Rfam family "Bacterial small subunit ribosomal RNA", at positions 188 to 632 of the family's 1533-position model. Lineage: Bacteria; Bacillati; Bacillota; Bacilli; Caryophanales; Bacillaceae. The record is from RNAcentral.